GGGAAGGCCAAUACUGCAGUCGAGCGAGCUUGCCUAGAUGAUUUUAGUGCUUGCACUAAAUGAAACUAGAUACAAGCGAGCGGCGGACGGGUGAGUAACACGUGGGUAACCUGCCCAAGAGACUGGGAUAACACCUGGAAACAGAUGCUAAUACCGGAUAACAACACUAGACGCAUGUCUAGAGUUUGAAAGAUGGUUCUGCUAUCACUCUUGGAUGGACCUGCGGUGCAUUAGCUAGUUGGUAAGGUAACGGCUUACCAAGGCAAUGAUGCAUAGCCGAGUUGAGAGACUGAUCGGCCACAUUGGGACUGAGACACGGCCCAAACUCCUACGGGAGGCAGCAGUAGGGAAUCUUCCACAAUGGACGAAAGUCUGACGGAGCAACGCCGCGUGAGUGAAGAAGGGUUUCGGCUCGUAAAGCUCUGUUGGUAGUGAAGAAAGAUAGAGGUAGUAACUGGCCUUUAUUUGACGGUAAUUACUUAGAAAGUCACGGCUAACUACGUGCCAGCAGCCGCGGUAAUACGUAGGUGGCAAGCGUUGUCCGGAUUUACUGGGUGUAAAGGGGGUGCAGACGGCCAUGGCAAGCCCGGUGUGAAAGGCAGGGGCAUAACCCCUGGACUGCACUGGGAACUGUCAGGCUGGAGUGCCGGAGGGGUAAGCGGAAUUCCUGGUGUAGCGGUGAAAUGCGUAGAUAUCAGGAGGAACACCGGCGGCGAAGGCGGCUUACUGGACGGCAACUGACGUUGAGGCCCGAAAGCGUGGGGAGCGAACAGGAUUAGAUACCCUGGUAGUCCACGCUGUAAACGAUCAAUACUAGGUGUGCGGGGACUGACCCCCUGCGUGCCGGAGUAAGGAAUUGACGGGGGCCCGCACAAGCGGUGGAUUAUGUGGUUAAUUUCG
Molecule: ribosomal RNA, 900 nt
Filed under: uncultured bacterium
Lineage: Bacteria
Description: bacterial SSU rRNA
Rfam family: Bacterial small subunit ribosomal RNA
Source: RNAcentral